AAAAUCCGUUGGCUUUAUAGACCGUGAGGGUUCAAGUCCCUCUACCCCCAUGGAGAGAAAAGA
Molecule: transfer RNA, 63 nt
Filed under: Takakia lepidozioides
Lineage: Eukaryota; Viridiplantae; Streptophyta; Takakiopsida; Takakiales; Takakiaceae
Description: partial tRNA-Leu
Source: RNAcentral